CCUACGGGAGGCAGCAGUGGGGGAUAUUGCACAAUGGGGGGAACCCUGAUGCAGCGACGCCGCGUGGGUGAAGAAGCGCCUCGGCGCGUAAAGCCCUGUCCGCAGGGACGAAAAUGACGGUACCUGAAGAAGAAGCACCGGCGAACAACGUGCCUGCAGCCGCGGUAAUACGGAGGAUGCGAGCGUUAUCCGGUUUUAUUGGGUUUAAAGGGUGCGUAGGCGGACUGCCAUGUCAGCGGUAAAAUCGCGGGGCUCAACCUCGCUGCGCCGUUGAAACUGGCGUUCUUGAGUGGGCGAGAAGUAUGCGGAAUGCGUGGUGUAGCGGUGAAAUGCAUAGAUAUCACGAAGAACUCCGAUGGCGAAGGCAGCAUACCGGCGCCCAACUGACGCUGAAGCACGAAAGCGUGGGUAUCGAACAGGAUUAGAUACCCUUGUAGUC
RNAcentral lists this ribosomal RNA (439 nucleotides) under uncultured bacterium. Its description in RNAcentral is "partial 16S ribosomal RNA". It matches the Rfam family "Bacterial small subunit ribosomal RNA", at positions 338 to 795 of the family's 1533-position model. The record is from RNAcentral.